This is a non-coding RNA of Anguilla anguilla (European eel), 439 nucleotides long. Lineage: Eukaryota; Metazoa; Chordata; Actinopteri; Anguilliformes; Anguillidae. The record is from the annotation of a RefSeq genome assembly.
CAUCACCUGUAAUACAGAGAGGGAGAUCUGUGUGUGACAAUGGGAGCUAUUGUAGCAUUAGCUGUGUUGCUGGGAGCUUUAUCAUACGUUCGCUGUGUUGAACUCACACAGCCAGGCUCUAUGGUUGUAAAACCAGGAGAGACUUUAUCUGUCCUCUGUAAAGUCUCAUAUUCAGUUAGCAGUUAUAACACAGCCUGGAUCCGGCAGCCUGCAGGGAAAGCACUGGAGUGGAUUGGAAUUAUGUGGUCAGGUGGAAGCACUGAUUAUAAAGAUUCACUAAAGAGCAAGUUCACCAUCACCAGAGACACCUCCAGUAACACAGUGUUUUUAGGAGGGAGCAGCCUGCAGACUGGAGACACAGCUGUGUAUUACUGUGCCCGAUACCCACAGUGCAGCAAAGCCACAGCAGACCUGUACAAAACCCCACCCUGAUGAGUGU